AGCACUGUCCUGAAAAGUGGAAUCCACUGUUUAUCCACAGAAUAGGGGUAGCACGGGCAGUUGCACUGCAAGUUUCCCCAGCAUUGCCUUAACCUUGCCCUGGAGGAACCUCUUUUAGAGCUGAUGGAGUGGUUCAGUCUGCAUGUUCAAUCAAUCUUUAGCCUCU
This 166-nucleotide small RNA is filed under the name Chrysemys picta bellii (western painted turtle). Its description in RNAcentral is "TUC338 (ENSCPBG00000023771.1)". The record is from RNAcentral. Lineage: Eukaryota; Metazoa; Chordata; Testudines; Emydidae.